CUUGGCACUGGAAGAAUUCACAGACUAAUUAUUGAAGAUCGUGAGUCUCCUGGUGUCAACUA
This 62-nucleotide microRNA precursor is filed under the name Acyrthosiphon pisum (pea aphid). RNAcentral describes it as "microRNA api-mir-263b precursor". Its record names the gene api-mir-263b. Lineage: Eukaryota; Metazoa; Arthropoda; Insecta; Hemiptera; Aphididae. The record is from miRBase by way of RNAcentral.